UUGCUCUAAUCAAAUUCUGGCUGUCCCUAUAGCCAAGUAAGGACAGCAUUAUUUCUUCUGUGCUCUACAAGUAGAUGAAGGUUAGUUAGCUGUAUAACUAGGCAGUAAUGCUUCCAGUGUUUUUCCAACAAAU
RNAcentral lists this small nucleolar RNA (133 nucleotides) under Procavia capensis (Cape rock hyrax). Lineage: Eukaryota; Metazoa; Chordata; Mammalia; Hyracoidea; Procaviidae. The record is from RNAcentral.